Molecule: ribosomal RNA, 447 nt
Filed under: uncultured bacterium
Lineage: Bacteria
Description: partial 16S ribosomal RNA
Rfam family: Bacterial small subunit ribosomal RNA
Source: RNAcentral
CCAGACUCCUACGGGAGGCAGCAGUGGGGGAUAUUGCACAAUGGGGGGAACCCUGAUGCAGCGACGCCGCGUGGGUGAAGGAGUAUUUCGGUAUGUAAAGCCCUAUCGGCAGGGAAGAAGAAAGACGGUACCUGAGUAAGAAGCCCCGGCUAACUACGUGCCAGCAGCCGCGGUAAUACGUAGGGGGCAAGCGUUAUCUGGAUUUACUGGGUGUAAAGGGAGCGUAGACGGCGAAGAAAGUCUGAAGUGAAAGCCCGCGGCUUAACCGCGGAACUGCUUUGGAAACUUUUUUGCUGGAGUACCGGAGAGGUAAGCGGAAUUCCUAGUGUAGCGGUGAAAUGCGUAGAUAUUAGGAGGAACACCAGUGGCGAAGGCGGCCUACUGGACGGUGACUGACGCUGAGGCUCGAAAGCGUGGGGAGCAAACAGGAUUAGAUACCCUCGUAAG